GCGAGGUCUGGGUAUGGAUAGAUGGCAGUGGAUUCCACGGUCACUAUCAGAGAGUUAGGUUGCCAUAGUUACUCCUCCAUUAGACUUCCUUCCCAGCAACCAGACACCAUUGCUGUGCCAAAUAGUCACCACCACAGGUGUAAGGGAAGGGCAGGGCAAACUGAAGAGCUCCAUGUACUGUGGUUUUCCAUCUGCCAUAGGCCAGUGGAAUCUGCUGCCAAGAUCUGAUUUUGUGAAACAGUGCAAAUUUCUUAUCAAACCCGUUCCUGCCAUCCCUCCACAAGUUUGGGCUACCAAGAAAUCCAAAAGGAGGAUGGUUGCAUCUUUCCUGCAGGGGGUGAACAGAGUCUCAGCUUCAGGGGAUAUUAUCCUCACUGGACAGGGAGGAUUAGACAGUCUGCACUUCCAUGCUGACCGGCAAGCUCCAGCUACUGCUACUCCUGGCAACUCAUGGCUGAUUUGCUUUGGAUUUGAAGCAACUGUUGUCAAGAACUUAAACCUCAAGAGGUGAAUAGCAGGCCUCCUUAAGGUAUCUUCCCUUUUCCCAGCCAUCCUGUCUCUUCCUGCUUCUUUAAACCCAACCAAGGGAUGAAUAUUAUUUUCUAAUGACUGAAAGAAGACAGAUAAGAGGCAGGUCUUCAGAUUAAGAAUCCAAGACUUGAUUGCAGCUCUUAUCAUACUUCUUUUCCAUUUUUUCCCUCUUCUUCCCACCAGAAAAUAAAUUGCUUCAAUAAAUUAUGUCUUUAAUCUGC
Molecule: long non-coding RNA, 752 nt
Filed under: Phasianus colchicus (ring-necked pheasant)
Lineage: Eukaryota; Metazoa; Chordata; Aves; Galliformes; Phasianidae
Description: lncRNA (ENSPCLG00000011552.1)
Source: RNAcentral